GCAGGGUGCGGUGGCUCAUGCCUGUAAUCCUAGUAGCUCGGGAGGCUGAGGCAGGAGGAUUGCAAGUUCAAAGCCAGCCUCGGCAGUGGCAAGGCCCUAAACAACUCAUUGAGACCCUGUCUCUU
RNAcentral lists this small RNA (125 nucleotides) under Marmota monax (woodchuck). Lineage: Eukaryota; Metazoa; Chordata; Mammalia; Rodentia; Sciuridae. The record is from RNAcentral.